ACCCGCAGAAGAAGCACCGGCUAACUCCGUGCCAGCAAGCGCGGUAAUACGGAGGGGUGCAAGCGGUUAAUCGGGAAUUACUGGGGCGUAAAGCGCACGCAGGGCGGUCUGUCAAAGUCGGAUGUGAAAUCCCCGGGCUCAACCCUGGGAACUGCAUCCGAAACUGGCAGGCUUGAGUCUUGUAGAGGGGGGGUAGAAUUUCCAGGUGUAGCGGUGAAAUGCGUAGAGAUCUGGAGGAAUACCGGUGGCGAAGGCGGCCCCCUGGACAAAGACUGACGCUCAGGUGCGAAAGCGUGGGGGAGCAAACAGGAUUAGAUACCCUGGUAGUCCACGCUGUAAACGAUGUCGACUUGUAGGUUGUGCCCUUGAGGCGUGGCUUCCCGGAGCUAAACGCGUUAAGUCGACCCGCCCUGGGGGAGUACGGCCGCAAGGGUUAAAACUCAAAUGAAUUUGACGGGGGGCCCCGCACAAGCCGGUGGGAGCAUGUGGUUAAUUUCGAUGCAACGCGAAGAGCCUUUACCCUACUCUUGGACAUCCCACGAGAACUUAGCCAGGAGAUGCCUUUGGUGCCUUCGGGAACUAGUGAGACAGGUGCUUGCAUGGCUGUCGUCCAGCUCCGUGGUKGUGCAAAAUGAUUGGGUUAAGUCCCGCAACGAGCGCAACCCUUAUCCUUUGUUGCCAGCGGUCCGGCCGGGAACUCAAAGGAGACUGCCAGUGAUAAACUGGAGGAAGGUGGGGAUGACGUC
Molecule: ribosomal RNA, 746 nt
Filed under: Enterobacter sp.
Lineage: Bacteria; Pseudomonadati; Pseudomonadota; Gammaproteobacteria; Enterobacterales; Enterobacteriaceae
Description: bacterial SSU rRNA
Source: RNAcentral